GCCGAGGUGGAGGAACGGCAUACUCGGGGCACUCAAAAUGCUCUGCCUGAAAGGGCUUGUGGGUUCGAAUCCCACCCUCGGCA
RNAcentral lists this transfer RNA (83 nucleotides) under Catenuloplanes nepalensis. Its description in RNAcentral is "tRNA-Leu". It matches the Rfam family "tRNA". Rfam says of the family: Transfer RNA (tRNA) molecules are approximately 80 nucleotides in length. Their secondary structure includes four short double-helical elements and three loops (D, anti-codon, and T loops). Further hydrogen bonds mediate the characteristic L-shaped molecular structure. tRNAs have two regions of fundamental functional importance: the anti-codon, which is responsible for specific mRNA codon recognition, and the 3' end, to which the tRNAs corresponding amino acid is attached (by aminoacyl-tRNA synthetases). tRNAs cope with the degeneracy of the genetic code in two manners: having more than one tRNA (with a specific anti-codon) for a particular amino acid; and 'wobble' base-pairing, i.e. permitting non-standard base-pairing at the 3rd anti-codon position. Lineage: Bacteria; Bacillati; Actinomycetota; Actinomycetes; Micromonosporales; Micromonosporaceae. The record is from RNAcentral.